UGGGGAAUUUUGGACAAUGGGGGAAACCCUGAUCCAGCCAUCCCGCGUGUGCGAUGAAGGCCUUCGGGUUGUAAAGCACUUUUGGCAGGAAAGAAACGUCAUGGGUUAAUACCCCGUGAAACUGACGGUACCUGCAGAAUAAGCACCGGCUAACUACGUGCCAGCAGCCGCGGUAAUACGUAGGGUGCAAGCGUUAAUCGGAAUUACUGGGCGUAAAGCGUGCGCAGGCGGUUCGGAAAGAAAGAUGUGAAAUCCCAGAGCUCAACUUUGGAACUUCAUUUUUAACUACCGGGCUAGAGUGUGUCAGAGGGAGGUGGAAUUCCGCGUGUAGCAGUGAAAUGCGUAGAUAUGCGGAGCAACACCGAUGGCGAAGGCAGCCUCCUGGGAUAACACUGACGCUCAUGCACGAAAGCGUGGGGAGCAAACAGG
Molecule: ribosomal RNA, 429 nt
Filed under: Acidobacteriota bacterium
Lineage: Bacteria; Pseudomonadati; Acidobacteriota
Description: Acidobacteria bacterium partial 16S ribosomal RNA
Rfam family: Bacterial small subunit ribosomal RNA
Source: RNAcentral